RNAcentral lists this ribosomal RNA (255 nucleotides) under uncultured bacterium. Its description in RNAcentral is "partial 16S ribosomal RNA". It matches the Rfam family "Bacterial small subunit ribosomal RNA", at positions 793 to 1055 of the family's 1533-position model. The record is from RNAcentral.
GUCCACGCCUAACGAUGUCAACUAGUUGUUGGAGGUAACCCUCUUAGUAACGCAGCUAACGCGUGAAGUUGACCGCCUGGGGAGUACGGUCGCAAGAUUAAACUCAAGGAAUUGACGGGCCGCACAAGCGGUGGAUUAUGUGGAUUAAUUCGAUGCAACGCGAAACCUUAACCUACCCUUGACAUGUACGGAACUUGCCAGAGAUGGCUUGGUGCUCGAAAGAGAACCGUAACACAGGUGCUGCAUGGCUGUCGU